AAAUAAUUGCCGUACUUUUAUUUACCCUUGAAUCAAUCAAUUGCCUGCAGUUACAGUACAAAACUUGCACAUUAUUUACAAGUAUAAGAUUACAUCAUAGAAGCUGACAUUAUAUACCAGGUAACUACAAGACUGUUGUUGUAUCAGAUACGUGGAUAGUCUGAUCUGACUGAUUUAUAACUACCGGGUUUCCUGAAGCAUCCAGAUCAACUAUUGCAGUAUCACCAGGCUUAAAUCCUCCCGCAAGUAAGGCUUCGCUUAUGGGAUUUUCAAUUAUUUGAGUAACUGCUCUCCUAAGAGGUCGAGCUCCAUAAAUCUUGUCAUAGCCUUGUUGGCAUACAAGGUCCUUGAUAGACUCAGACACCUCCAAGCCAAUCCCAAGUGAUAUUAGCCUUUCUUUCACCUCUUGCAGCAUCAGAUUUAAAAUCUUGAGCAUCUGAAAAUAAAAAUAAAAAGUUGAUGUGAAGUCUAUGUGAAAUGACUCUGCUUACAUAUGAUAUUAGGUUUCAUGCUACUCGCUUUUAUAAGAAUACCCACGAGUCCUAGAACUCAAAUUUUUAAGUUCAAACAAGUAAAUGGUAAUACUUCUGAUCAUCCAAGACUACCUAUCAAAGUAGAGGGAAAAAAUUAUAGACAGUGAUCCUGGAGACAAUGGAUAAAGAUUGCAGACUUCCACUCAUAAAUGUCACUGGUGUUAAACAAGGAAUAUUUACAAACCUGAGCCUUCUCAAGGGGAUGGAAUACCACUACUUCAUCUAUCCUGUUGAGUAACUCUGGGCGAAAAUACGCCUUGAGUUCUUCCAUUACCAAUGCUUUUAUUCCAGCAUAUGAAGUUGACUCAUCAUCUGCAAUCAAGAAACCGAUAGAGGUGCGUCCCCCCUUUGCAAUGGCAGUAGAGCCCACAUUUGAGGUCAUUACAACCAACGCAUUUUUAAAUGAUACUCUCCGUCCCUGAGAAUCUGUAAGGUGGCCAUCUUCAAACAACUGAAGGAGCAUAUUGAAUACAUCAGGAUGAGCUUUCUCUAUUUCAUCAAGUAAAACCAGCGUGAAAGGUUGUCUUCUAAUAGCUUCUGUAAGAGUGCCUCCUUCACCAUAACCAACAUAACCUGGGGGUGAUCCUAUUAAUUUGCUCACGGUGUGUCGUUCCAUAUAUUCACUCAUGUCCAGUCUCAGCAUUGCAGACUCCGAACCAAAAUAGCAUGCUGCCAAAGCUUUUGCUAGUUCAGUCUUGCCAACCCCAGUUGGGCCACAAAACAUCAUUGCUGCUAUGGGCCUGUCAGGAUCUUUCAAGCCAACUCGAGACCUUUUAACUGCUCUAGAUAUUGCAGCAACAGCCUCAUCUUGACCAAUGACCCGUUUUCUGAGCUGAUCAUCUAGACUUACCAAAAACAUUCUUUCAUCAGCAGUGAGCUGCUGAACUGGGAUUCCUGACCAAAGUGAAGCCACUGCAGCUAUAUCAUCUGGGCCCACCACUAUUGGCUCAUCAUCAUCAUCUGAUGUAACAGGUACAUGGGCCUCCAAAAUGAUUUCACCAGAGUCCUUUGUGUUGGAAGUACUGCCAUCAUUUUUUACCUUACUUGCCAGAACCACUUCAUGCAUGGCCUGAACAGUUCUAAUUUCUUGCCAAUAGUCAUCAGGUGACUUCGAAAGGAUACAGGUCUGUUGUUCUUUUUUCUUCCUAUGGGCCUCAAUUCGUGCUCUGCUUCCUGCCUCAUCAAUAAGAUCAAUAGCUUUAUCCGGAAGAUAUCUAUCAGCAAUAUAUCUUGCUGACAGAUAGACAGCAGCAUUUAUGGCUUCAGGUGUGAAAAUGCAGUUGUGAUGGGCCUCAUAUUUCUGACGAAGACCUAACAGUAUUUUAACAGCAUCCUCCUGGUUUGGUUCAUUUAUUGACACAGGCUGGAAUCUUCGAGCUAAUGCUUUAUCACUUUCAAAAUGUGUCCUGUAUUCAUCUAUCGUAGUGGAUGCCAUGCACUGUAAUUCACCCCUCCCAAGUGAUGGCUUCAGUAAAUUAGCAAUGUCAAGUCCAGAUCCCUUGUUUCCCCGUCCAACUGUGCCAGUCCCAACAAGUGUAUGAACUUCAUCAAUAAAAAGAAUGAUAUUACCUUCUUUCAGUAUCUCUCCUAUUAGUGCAGUAACACGUGCCUCUAAUUCUCCCCUUUCCUUUGCACCAGCAAUUAAUAGUCCCAUAUCCAAAGACAUUACACGUUUUGCUAAGAGAAAAACAGGAACAUUGGCCUGUGCAAUACUAAUUGCUAGUCCUUCGGCAAUGGCUGUUUUUCCAACCCCACUUUGACCAAGAAGAAUAGGAUUGUUUUUGGUUCUGCGGCAAAGUAUCUGAAUAAUUCUUUCAAUUUCAGUCUCUCGGCCAAUAACAGGGUCGAUGAGUCCUUCACUGGCACGAGCAGUAAGAUCCACACAGAAUUGAGUCAGAGCACUUUUCUCUCUCGUUUUCUCAGAGGAUCUUAAUGCAGCAGCUUUCUUAGAAAAGGAUUUUUCACGUGAUCCUUUGGAUUCCACAGAUAAUUCUCUUCCAUCUUUAGCAAGCUCACCCUGAAGUCUGGUGACUGCUACAGCUGCCAAGUGAUCUACAUUUGCCCCCAGUCUCUUCAGGACACGAGUGGCACUCCCAUCAUCAACAGUGAAUAACCCAACGGCCAUAUGCUCGGGUGCGAUGAAAUUAUAGCCCAUUGUCCUCGAAUACUCAACGGCAACCUCAAAUACUCGCUUCGUGCUAAUAGAAAAUGGCACAUCUGUGGAUGAAGUAGUACCUCCCCCUCCACCUCUCUGUGUACUAGAAGCCGAAGCAUUAGCGUCAUCAGCAUCGGCAUCACUGCUCCAAAUGUUUCGAACAACUUCACGGGCUUUAUCAAUCUUAAGGCCAGAGCCAAGAAACCCAUUUGGGUCGCGAUCCUCCCCGAUUAAACCCAGCAAGAGAUGCUGGGUAAACACCAUGUCCUUGCCCAAGGCUCUGGCUUCUUUCUGAGAAAAUAUCACCACCUUUAUUGCUCGCUCCGUAAAUCUCUCAAAAACUGCAGAAAUAGGAAGAAUUCUACGUUUUCUACGUGAACGAGAGCAUUUAAAAGAAAGGGGAUUAUGUGGGCGGCGCCUGUGUGAGAUGGAAAUGCCAAAACAAGAUGAAUAAGAGGAAGAGAUUAUGUUGUUAUUAGAACUAAAUGUUAACAGAGGAUCGAUUCUCUGUGAACGAGAUGGGUUAAGCGGACCCAAAUCCCAUCUCGAGUGAACUGAUAGAGGUGAUGAAGAUAAAACUUCCAUCUUCUUGUUUUGGGUUUCAGUGAAUAAUUACCAGGUAUGCUUGCUUAUAAAUAAAAAAUAUAAGCUUUCCCUCCAAUUGGGGUUUCUGAAAAAAAUCUGCAAGAAGAAACAAGAAGAGUAUAAGAGAGAGAGAAGGAAAGAAUUGAGUAUAACAGCUGAAAAAGAGAAGGAACUAGGAAGGGUUGCUUAACACGUCAAGCCACCAACCAAUGAGUUUUCGCAUGUUUUCCAUCUUUAAUUUUUUUAUUUUCUUUUUCUUAUUUAUCGGGGUUUGAACAGAAUACUGUACAUAUUCGCCAAAAGGCCAAACCCAAAAGCCUUGACUGCUAUGCGAGGGAUGAAAAGUAAGCGAGACCCCCAGAGGCCUGGUCGCCCACGGAAGCCAAUGUCUCUCCAGGCUGCUCCUGCGUGCAACUAACGUGCCACCCCUCAGCCUCCGAUGUCAACCUCAUGCCUUGUCCAUUAUAUAAUGAAUCUGUCGCGGAUCCCGUGUGUAAUUGGUUCUUUUGUCCUUGACCCAGUUUGGCACCGGUUUCCAACUUUGCUUUCUCUAUAAUGCAUUCUAACUUUGGUAGGACUAGGAACAUUGGAGGAGUUAAUCGAAAAAUGAACAGAAGCUGGUCGGCUAAUCCUAGGCAUUGCAACCAGGGAAUUUACAUAUAAACUGCACAAUUAGCAUCUUGCUUCCGUUGCGUUGACUUGUUACAGAGCAACGUAACUGCAGGUUCCCACUUCAUGUAUGUUAACUAGAACUCAAGAAGGGUAUCAAAUAUCAAACUAUGAAAUCCAUUCAAUGCAAAAUAAAAAAG
RNAcentral lists this unclassified non-coding RNA (4082 nucleotides) under Hevea brasiliensis (rubber tree). The record is from RNAcentral. Lineage: Eukaryota; Viridiplantae; Streptophyta; Magnoliopsida; Malpighiales; Euphorbiaceae.